UCAGCUUGCCUAUAACGUGAUUAGCAAAUCUAGUAUUCUUAUAAAGCAGAGCUUCAAAUUUUUAAGAUCAGUUUCUCUCCUAAGCAACACACAAAUAGUGGAAUACAAAUAAUUGAAACUCUGUAAUUUCUACGAGUUGGGUUAAGCAAGUAAGAGUUAGAAGAAUACUCAAAUUUGGGGUUAUUAAGGAAGAAGAGCUGGAACAAAAGAAAACUGACGCCAACGACACAGAGACUUAGAAAUUUAAAGGUAAUAUCUCUCUAUACAGUAUACUGAGUAUAGUAAAGAUGCAUGUAUGUGAAAGAAGUGUGUUAAGUUUUGGUUGAUGAAAAUCUAUAUGAGAUAUAUAUCUGUGAUGUUGGGUUAAAUGGUUGAAUAAAUUUAACUGAUAAGACAAUUGGUAAGUUUAACUUUCAUAACAACUGACCAUGCAUGGGUUAUUGAAAUCCACUGUUAGUUUGUUGAUAUCAAACUUUUAAAAUAAUGGAAGGCUAUUAUAUAUUUAUUUGUUUUGUUUACAGUUAAUACGUUUGGCUUAACUGUGAAACAAACUGCUAUGGACUGGAAUUGAAUAGAGGAGAUUAGGCUUGGUUUCGUGGAGUAAUAAGGGAGCUAAACUGGGAUUUUAGAGCAAAUCAAUAGCUAUGAAAAGGGUGUUUUAAAAUUGUGCACAUAAGGUGCUUGUUAAAAUGCUUCAAUUAACUGUUUUGACUAAAAACCAAAUAUUUGAUGGAACUAAAGCUUGAGUUAUAUAUAUAUACACCUUGUAUGUGGAUAAGUAAAGUGUUGUAACAUACUAAAUGGAAGCGAAAAGUAAAUUUUAACUAAAACCAAAUGUUAAAAUUUAGCAUGUCAAGCACUUAUGCACACUGUUUGGGGGCAGCUGAACAAACUAAAUAAAAUACAAGCCUAAUGUUUUCUUGAGUAGGCUAGUAUAAUACUGAGGAAUGGGUAUAAAUAAACUUAUGAAAUAGAGUUUAUAAAAUUUGUAAAGGAGGGGAUUAGAUGAGUUGGUCGGAGCUGCUGCAGGCAGCAGCAGCCAGCGCCCUGCGCUGUGCUGUAGAGCGCUGUAGAGCCGACAGGUACUUUGACACGCUAGUUUAAUUUGCAUAGAUUGUUGAUAGCGGUAGUUGGUGUGCUACUUUAGUAUGUGAGCAUGUUGUAUAUAUCAUGCCAAAGGUAUGUAUUGAUUUCAAUAAGGAAAUAGAUUACUAGAAGUGAGAAAAAAAAUUAAGAAACUGCUGCUGUGUGAUAGCCACAAAUAGUAGCUACUGCCUAUUGGCAGCAGCAAGUAGUAGCAAGUUCCAGCAGCAGAUUGAUAUGGAGAUUUGAAUUGGGCCUAUGGUGGCUUCAUGCUAGUUUAUAAUGUGUUGAAUAAUUUGCUUAUAAAUCUCUAACACAAGGAAAUACAUGAGUUAUUAAAAAAAAGAGUUAAUAUAAUUGAGUUAUCAGAUGAGGAGUUUGGUAUUUACCAAAGCAGGCAUCAAAGUAAUAGAAGCUGCUACUCAACGGCAGCAGCAGUUGUAAUGGCUGUUUGGGCAAUGCAUGGGGGAAAACGUCCUUGCACUCCUAAAUGUUAGAUAUUAAUUACCCAUGAUAUCUGGCAAAUAUUUUCUUAAUGGGGUAAAUACAUCACCUAUCUAAUAUCUAAAACUUAUUUAUAAAUGGAUCAAAGAUGUGGCGAAUUAAAACUAAGUAAUGGGAUAUGAUUGCUGUCUUGUACAGCUGCAGAGCAGUGGCUGGAAUGGGGGGUUUCUAUUUGAGCUCUCUGACGGUAUAGGUGGAUGAUUUUAAUAAUUUAAUUAGCAUUCUAUUUAAAUAGAAAAUAUGUAAAUUUCUAUACUUUCAAAGAAUGGCUUGAAUACCUAAGUUAUAAAGAAGAUUGCAAAGUAUAUUUAUAACAAGAAAGAAGAGAAAUAUGAACUAAAAUCAUAUAAGGGUUAUGAACUGGGAAUAAGUCAAACCUAUAAAAGAAAGAAAUGGCUAUUGUAAGAAUAUGGAUGAUGUAUUUGAAAAAUAUAUAAAAUAUCUUAAAUACAAAAACAUAAACUAAAAACAAGAUCACUCUGAUUAUGUGAUAUGUGAACAUACAAGCCAUAUGACUUGGCUAUUUAAGCUAAUAUGUUGUAAAUGUAAAUAAUUGUGUAGGAUUUGUGAGAAUACACAAGUUAAAUUGAAAUUGUACCAAUAGUUUACAAAUAAGGCAAGUAUCUAAAUCGUACUCUUUAUUGAGCAAGUAUUAUGAGAUUAUUCAUAUAUGGAUAGGUUUUUUAAAUUCUGAAUUGUCUUUCAUUAUUUAUGAAUAAUAUAAGGUUAAAUAACCUUUUUAUUUCAAUCAGCUUCAAAAGAUUGGGUGAUGUAUUUUCAUGUAUAAUUCAAUAUGUAUGAGCAGAUUACAAAGAAGAAGUCUGAGCCAUCACUACAAAAAAAUGGUGAUUUUGUAACAAACAGUUUUCGUUGUUAAAUGUGCGAAAUUUCAUUGUCAAAUGUCAUUUGCAACGAUUUUUCGAUCGUUGGAUAUUUUGUUGCGCAGUGAGCGUUGCUAAUUGUACGAAUUUUUUUUUUCGUUACAGAAAGUAAUAUAUUUUGCAACGAAAUUUUGUUUUCGUGUAAAUUCGUAAAUCAUUUAGUAACGAAAUAUUUUGUAGCAAAUUUAUUAAGAAAUUGUUACUGAAAAAUAAUUUUCGUUGCAAAAUACGCCUAAUUGGCAAUGAAAAGAAUCUUUUUAUUUUUCAACAAAGAUAAAAUUUGUUGCAUUUGAUACACAUUUGCCAACGACGUUUCCC
This 2786-nucleotide long non-coding RNA is filed under the name Panax ginseng (ginseng). RNAcentral's name for it is "long non-coding RNA (PGIN_LNC017777)". Lineage: Eukaryota; Viridiplantae; Streptophyta; Magnoliopsida; Apiales; Araliaceae. The record is from RNAcentral.